RNAcentral lists this non-coding RNA (29 nucleotides) under Mus musculus (house mouse). The record is from RNAcentral. Lineage: Eukaryota; Metazoa; Chordata; Mammalia; Rodentia; Muridae.
UAUGAAAACCCUCUAUUCACUCCACCUGU